GAUGAGCGCUGGCGGCGUGCCUAAUACAUGCAAGUCGAGCGAACGGACGAGAAGCUUGCUCCUCUGAUGUUAGCGGCGGACGGGUGAGUAACACGUGGAUAACCUACCUAUAAGACUGGGAUAACUUCGGGAAACCGGAGCUAAUACCGGAUGAUAUUUUGAACCGAAUGGUUCAAAAGUGAAAGACGGUCUUGCUGUCACUUAUAGAUGGAUCCGCGCUGCAUUAGCUAGUUGGUAAGGUAACGGCUUACCAAGGCAACGAUGCAUAGCCGACCUGAGAGGGUGAUCGGCCACACUGGAACUGAGACACGGUCCAGACUCCUACGGGAGGCAGCAGUAGGGAAUCUUCCGCAAUGGGCGAAAGCCUGACGGAGCAACGCCGCGUGAGUGAUGAAGGUCUUCGGAUCGUAAAACUCUGUUAUUAGGGAAGAACAUAUGUGUAAGUAACUGUGCACAUCUUGACGGUACCUAAUCAGAAAGCCACGGCUAACUACGUG
Molecule: ribosomal RNA, 497 nt
Filed under: uncultured bacterium
Lineage: Bacteria
Description: partial 16S ribosomal RNA
Rfam family: Bacterial small subunit ribosomal RNA
Source: RNAcentral